GACGAACGCUGGCGGCGUGCUUAACACAUGCAAGUCGAACGGAAAGGCCCGGCGUUUGUGGGUUGCUCGAUUGGCGAGCGGGUGAGUAACACGUGAGUAACCUGCCCUUGACUGUGGGAUAACUUCAGGGAACUGGGGCGAAUACCGGAGAGGAGCUCCUGCUGCAUGUGGUGGAUUGGAAAGUGUCGGCUGUUGGGGAUGGACUCGCGGCUUAUCAGCUUGUUGGUGGGGUAGGUGCUUUCCAAGGCUUUGACGGGUAGCCGGCCUGAGAGCGUGAACGGGCACAUUGCGACUGAGAUACGGACCAGAAUCCUACGGGAGGCAGUAGGGGGGAAUCUUGCAGAAUGGGCGGAAGCCUGAUGCAGAAACGCCGCGUGCGGGAUGCCGGCCUUCGGGUUGUAAACCGCUUUCGCAUGUGACGAAGAGUGAGUGACGGUACUGGGUAAAGAAGCAACGGCUAACUACGUG
Molecule: ribosomal RNA, 468 nt
Filed under: uncultured bacterium
Lineage: Bacteria
Description: partial 16S ribosomal RNA
Rfam family: Bacterial small subunit ribosomal RNA
Source: RNAcentral